UCUGAUCUGAUGUGUUUCUAGCCUGG
This 26-nucleotide non-coding RNA is filed under the name Mus musculus (house mouse). Lineage: Eukaryota; Metazoa; Chordata; Mammalia; Rodentia; Muridae. The record is from RNAcentral.